CUGUGGUUGGGGCAUUGCAUGAGUUUUCCAUUAAAUAUCUCCUACACCUCAUAUAGAGUCUCUCCAUUCAAUUGACGAAAGUUUGUGAUUUCAUCACAUAAUUG
Molecule: small nucleolar RNA, 104 nt
Filed under: Capsicum annuum
Lineage: Eukaryota; Viridiplantae; Streptophyta; Magnoliopsida; Solanales; Solanaceae
Description: Plant small nucleolar RNA R71
Rfam family: Plant small nucleolar RNA R71
About the family: R71 is a member of the C/D box family of snoRNAs containing the C (UGAUGA) and D (CUGA) box motifs. Multiple nearly identical copies of this snoRNA have been identified in Arabidopsis, and it is thought to function as a 2'-O-ribose methylation guide for 18S ribosomal RNA.
Source: Rfam by way of RNAcentral